RNAcentral lists this ribosomal RNA (390 nucleotides) under uncultured bacterium. RNAcentral describes it as "bacterial SSU rRNA". It matches the Rfam family "Bacterial small subunit ribosomal RNA", at positions 28 to 419 of the family's 1533-position model. The record is from RNAcentral.
GACGAACGCUGGCGGCGUGCUUAACACAUGCAAGUCGAGCGGUAAGGCCCUUUCGGGGGUACACGAGCGGCGAACGGGUGAGUAACACGUGGGUGACCUGCCCUCAGCUCUGGGAUAAGCCUGGGAAACUGGGUCUAAUACUGGAUAUGACUCCACGGUGCAUGUCGUGGGGUGGAAAGCCUUGUGCGGCUGAGGAUGGGCCCGCGGCCUAUCAGCUUGUUGGUGGGGUGANGGCCUACCAAGGCGACGACGGGUAGCCGGCCUGAGAGGGCGACCGGCCACACUGGGACUGAGACACGGCCCAGACUCCUACGGGAGGCAGCAGUGGGGAAUCUUGCGCAAUGGGCGAAAGCCUGACGCAGCGACGCCGCGUGAGGGAUGACGGCCUCG